CGAUAAUUAUUAACGACUCUCGACAACGGAUAUCUCGGCUCUCGCAUCGAUGAAGAACGUAGCGAAAUGCGAUACUUGGUGUGAAUUGCAGAAUCCCGUGAACCAUCGAGUCUUUGAACGCAAGUUGCGCCCGAAGCCUUCUGGCCGAGGGCACGUCUGCCUGGGC
Molecule: ribosomal RNA, 166 nt
Filed under: Plumbago auriculata (Cape leadwort)
Lineage: Eukaryota; Viridiplantae; Streptophyta; Magnoliopsida; Caryophyllales; Plumbaginaceae
Description: 5.8S ribosomal RNA
Rfam family: 5.8S ribosomal RNA
About the family: 5.8S ribosomal RNA (5.8S rRNA) is a component of the large subunit of the eukaryotic ribosome. It is transcribed by RNA polymerase I as part of the 45S precursor that also contains 18S and 28S rRNA.
Source: RNAcentral